This 243-nucleotide ribosomal RNA is filed under the name uncultured bacterium. Its description in RNAcentral is "partial 16S ribosomal RNA". It matches the Rfam family "Bacterial small subunit ribosomal RNA", at positions 129 to 353 of the family's 1533-position model. The record is from RNAcentral.
CCCUUCAGAGGGGGACGAACAGUUGGAAACGACUGCUAAUACCGCAUACGAUCUAAUCUCGGCAUCGAGGAUAGAUGAAAGGUGGCCUCUACAUGUAAGCUAUCACUGAAGGAGGGGAUUGCGUCUGAUUAGCUAGUUGGAGGGGUAACGGCCCACCAAGGCGAUGAUCAGUAGCCGGUCUGAGAGGAUGAACGGCCACAUUGGGACUGAGACACGGCCCAGACUCCUACGGGAGGCAGCAUG